UACAGAGGUCCCAAGCGUUGUUCGGAUUCACUGGGCGUAAAGGGUGCGUAGGUGGUGAAGUAAGUCGGAUGGGAAAUCUCGGAGCUCAACUCCGAAACUGCAUUGGAAACUACUUUGCUCGAGGGUUGGAGGGGGGACUGGAAUUCUCGGUGUAGCAGUGAAAUGCGUAGAUAUCGAGAGGAACACCAGUGGCGAAGGCGAGUCCCUGGACAACUCCUGACACUGAGGCACGAAAGCUAGGGGAGCAAACAGG
Molecule: ribosomal RNA, 253 nt
Filed under: uncultured bacterium
Lineage: Bacteria
Description: partial 16S ribosomal RNA
Rfam family: Bacterial small subunit ribosomal RNA
Source: RNAcentral